RNAcentral lists this ribosomal RNA (315 nucleotides) under uncultured bacterium. RNAcentral describes it as "partial 16S ribosomal RNA". It matches the Rfam family "Bacterial small subunit ribosomal RNA", at positions 355 to 662 of the family's 1533-position model. The record is from RNAcentral.
UAGGGAAUCUUCCACAAUGGACGCAAGUCUGAUGGAGCAACGCCGCGUGAGUGAAGAAGGCUUUCGGGUCGUAAAACUCUGUUAUUGAAGAAGAACGUGCGUGACAGUAACUGGUCAUGCAGUGACGGUAUUCAAUCAGAAAGUCACGGCUAACUACGUGCCAGCAGCCGCGGUAAUACGUAGGUGGCAAGCGUUGUCCGGAUUUAUUGGGCGUAAAGCGAGUGCAGGCGGUCUUUUAAGUCUGAUGUGAAAGCCUUCGGCUUAACCGAAGAAGGGCAUCGGAAACUGGGAGACUUGAGUGCAGAAGAGGAGAGU